UUGUCUGCUUCCCUUUUAGACUGGCCUCCGAGGACAAGGGCUGUGCUUUCUCUCUUGCUCUCUCUUUUUUUUUUCCCCCCCAGUGCUGGGGAUCAAACAUAGGGCCUAGCACAUGCUAAACAAGUGUUCUUCCACCUAGCUACACCCCCAGUAGCACUCUCUCUGUUGUUCUUGAGUGCAACAUCAGGGCAUGUCACAGUGCCAUGGAGAAGGUGCUCCAUAAUUAUAUAUUGAUUAAGUGAAUAGCAGCAUUGCAUUUAGGAGAUGGGAGGGAAGAUUGAAGUCGUGAAAGUCCUCUUAGGGGAUUAUCAUAUUUACUGAAAUAUGAGAAACAACACUUCUUCCACCAAAGUGGCUUGCAUACAAAUUAAGUGUGCAAAUAUACACAUGUGCAUGCAUGCACACUCACAUACACACACUCACACACACAAACAUUCCUGUGCACACCCUGAUGAGGGUGUUCACUUGUGCAACCCACUCUCUCUUACUCGGAAGCCAGAUGUGGUGGUGCACACCUAUAAUCCCAGUAACUCAGGGGGCUGAGGCAGGAGGAUCAGAAGUUCAAGGGCAGCCUCAGCAACUAAGCAAGACCCUGUUUCAAAAUAAAAAAGGACUGGGGGAGGCGGC
This 627-nucleotide long non-coding RNA is filed under the name Marmota monax (woodchuck). The record is from RNAcentral. Lineage: Eukaryota; Metazoa; Chordata; Mammalia; Rodentia; Sciuridae.